RNAcentral lists this ribosomal RNA (468 nucleotides) under uncultured bacterium. Its description in RNAcentral is "partial 16S ribosomal RNA". It matches the Rfam family "Bacterial small subunit ribosomal RNA", at positions 28 to 507 of the family's 1533-position model. The record is from RNAcentral.
GACGAACGCUGGCGGCGUGCUUAACACAUGCAAGUCGAACGGACAGGCCCUGCUUUUGUGGGGUGCUCGAGUGGCGAACGGGUGAGUAACACGUGAGUAACCUGCCCUUGACUUUGGGAUAACUUCUGGAAACUGGGGCUAAUACCGGAUAGGAGCUCCUGCUGCAUGGUGGGGGUUGGAAAGUUUCGGCGGUUGGGGAUGUACUCGCGGGUUAUCAGCUUGUUGGUGGGGUAGUGGCUUACCAAGGCUUUGACGGGUAGCCGGCCUGAGAGGGUGACCGGCGAAAUUGGGACUGAGAUACGGCGCAGACUCCUACGGGAGGCAGCAGUGGGGAAUAUUGCACAAUGGGCGGAAGCCUGAUGCAGCAACGCCGCGUGCGGGAUGACGGCCUUCGGGUUGUAAACCGAUUUCGCCUGUGACGAAGCGUGAGUGACGGUAAUGGGUAAAGAAGCACCGGCUAACUACGUG